Molecule: long non-coding RNA, 586 nt
Filed under: Marmota monax (woodchuck)
Lineage: Eukaryota; Metazoa; Chordata; Mammalia; Rodentia; Sciuridae
Source: RNAcentral
UGCGGCCCCUGAGUGAAGUUUUGGGUGCCAGUGGCCCCCCAACUCUGCAGUUAGGUCUUGGGUCACCUGGCAUCCAGAAUGGAGCAUCCACUGUCCCAGGUCACCCGGUUGUCAGUGCAGAUGGCGGAGACCCCGAUCUGGGUGGGGCUGAGGCUGGCCUGCAGCGCUGGCCGAGGGAAGCUCUGCUGGCUCCGGGCUCUGAGACUUUCUCCAUCUGGGUGGGGAUUUAGCUCCUAUUUAAAGUUAUGAACGUUGCUACUCUUUGGGAGGGAGUGUCCCUGAAGGGCCAGCGUGUCUAGAGGAAGGCCCUGGAAGCUCUGAACAGCACAGUGCAACGUCACUUCUCCUGUCUCCACACUGAGCUGCGUCUGACAUAGGUUGGUUUGAAUUUUUUCUGGGUCACACGGCCAAACCAUACGCUGCUUAAAAUACAGUGUGUGGUUUUGGUGACUCGCAGCCAAUUCCUCUUUUCCUAAGAAGCUGUGGGUUUCUGUGCCUGACUGUUCUCAGUGAGCACAGAGCAACUGAAGGGAGAGCAAGACGGAGGGAGCCUCGCUCCUGAGGAGCUCCGGUUCACAUCCCCGAG